RNAcentral lists this ribosomal RNA (348 nucleotides) under Clostridioides difficile. RNAcentral describes it as "partial 23S ribosomal RNA". It matches the Rfam family "Bacterial large subunit ribosomal RNA", at positions 292 to 644 of the family's 2925-position model. The record is from RNAcentral. Lineage: Bacteria; Bacillati; Bacillota; Clostridia; Peptostreptococcales; Peptostreptococcaceae.
UUGGGGUUGCGGACAUAUCAUAACGAAGAGGUAUCGUAAUUGAAGAGGUUUGGAAAGACCCACCACAGCAGGUAAUAGUCCUGUAUGUUAAACGAGAAGACUUUAGAUAUGAUCCAGAGUACCACGGGACACGUGAAACCCUGUGGGAAGCAGGAGGGACCACCCUCCAAGGCUAAAUACUACCUAGUGACCGAUAGCGUAUAGUACCGUGAGGGAAAGGUGAAAAGAACCCCGGGAGGGGAGUGAAAUAGAACCUGAAACCCUGCACUUACAAGCUGUGGAAGCACAUUUCUUGUGUGACCGCGUACUUUUUGUAGAACGGGCCAACGAGUUACGUUAAGUAGCAAG